UGAAUUACAAUUGGAAUUUUUUUAAAUGACAUUAGAUGCUAAAAAUUAUUGGAGUAACAAAUAAAUGAAAAAUAGAAAGAAAAAAAACAUUGAAAAGAAAAAAACAGAAAAAAUGAAAAGAAAUGCUGAAAACAAAAUAACAUAAAAACGAUGUUAACCUGGGUUUUGGAUCCAUGUUAAUUGUAAAGUGAAAGUCGAGCUCAACCAUUCCACCAUAGCCUCCUUUUUGCAUUUGUUUAUGAAAAUAAUUAUUAUACGUUAUAUCCACGCGACUGGUCUCACACAUGAGACUAGUUGCGCACAAGUAUUUAUGAAUGUAAAAA
RNAcentral lists this long non-coding RNA (323 nucleotides) under Salvia miltiorrhiza (redroot sage). Its description in RNAcentral is "long non-coding RNA (SMIL_LNC003494)". The record is from RNAcentral. Lineage: Eukaryota; Viridiplantae; Streptophyta; Magnoliopsida; Lamiales; Lamiaceae.